This 4380-nucleotide long non-coding RNA is filed under the name Panax ginseng (ginseng). RNAcentral's name for it is "long non-coding RNA (PGIN_LNC007370)". Lineage: Eukaryota; Viridiplantae; Streptophyta; Magnoliopsida; Apiales; Araliaceae. The record is from RNAcentral.
UCCACUUAAAGAUCCGCUAUAAGCCUAAUAAAUAAUUUAGUUCAUAACUAAUGAAUUAAAUACUGAAAAAAUAAAAGAAAUCAUCAUCCCGAUUACACAAAUUGAAAUUAAAGGAGAAUAGUAAUACACCUCCCUUCUCGCCCUUCAAAUCUGUAAUCUUCGUGAAAUUUCUUCUCUUCUUCGUUCCUCCAAGCUCUUGCUUUCAAAUCUCAUUUUCUGAGUGUGUAAGAAUCUCUCCCCAAUCUUUUUCUAACACUUAGCAUAAAAUGUUUCACUUCAGCUCCACACCAUCGAUAAGAAUUCUAAUAGAAAUCCAACUCCUAAUCAAAAUCAAACAAGUCUUUAGUCAAAGACUCCCAAAUGCAUGAAACAACCUCCUUGUCAACUCCUAAUAUAAACAUAUUACAUAAGGAAGUUAAAUCUCCCAUUACAACUCAGAUUCCAGCAUUUAGCAAAAAUACAGCUUGUAACCCCGACCGACCGGCGCGCCCCGCGCCGGGUUUAGUACCAGGACAGCGCGGCCCGCGCCAGUCUACCUGUAACUUUUUACGCUGCAGUGCGCCCCGCGCCACUUUGCUCUUCGUCAUGGCGCGCCCCGCGCCGGUCAUGCAGAAUGUCUAAAAUUGCUUGAAUUUCCUUCCAAUGCUAGCAUCUUGAUAAGCUCACUUAAUAUCCUACAACAAGCACAAAACCCAUCAAAAGUAACAUGAAGUAAUAAAAAAACUAACAAUAUAACAAGCUAAAUAAAUAUAAAUCAUAGGUUAAAAACCUACUCAUCAGUAUGUACUAAAAAUACAAUUAAUUUUCAUAUAUGUAUUAUUGUAAAUAUAACUAAAAUUAAAAUUUUAAUUAUAAAAAAUUCACAAAAUAUUAAUUUUCGGGUUGAUAUAAAUCCCCUGCGGCGAUACAUUCUCGGUGGAAAUUUAGAUUUCCCAUGAUGAUAUGAGAAUGGUUAUUAAGUUUUAAUCCCUGCGGCGAAUGGAAGCGAUAAAUUUUAAUCCUCUCGGAAAAUGGGGGCGAGUAUGAAUUUUUUUUAUAAGAUCGAGAAUAAGGUGGGAUGUGUAAUCUGCUGCCCUCGCAUCGCCCCAGUCCCAGCCCCAGCCCUAACCCCAGCCCUAGCCCUAUAGGAAAACAUAACAAAAAUAGACUUUAUUUUCAUUAGCUUCUGCCUAACUUAGAGGUGGAAUUUGAGUUAUUUAAUGGAAAAUUGAUAAAAUUAAUGAGUUGAUUACACAUUAUAUAAAUUGAUUACUUUAAUCAUGUUCCUACAAAUAAUGCCAAUUGAUAAUAUAUUAGUGGAUUUAUUUGAAUAAACUAUACAAAUAAACUAUAGUUAUUCAAAGUUGUUAAUUGAGUAAAAUACAGUGACUCCGCUUCUAGAUAGCUAUAAUAACUCACGUUUCCUCUAGUUUUUUAAGUAACAAUUAGUACUCCGAUAAAUUUUUAAGGUUAACCAAAUAGAUAAAAUUACAUAUUUACCCUUGUAUGUUAUCAAAUUUUAAUUCUUAAAUUAUAUAUAUAUAUAUAUAUGUGUGUGUGUGUGUGUGUUUAAUUAUCCUUUUUUGAAUACAAUAUAGUUUAAUUUAUAAUUAAGACGAUCUCAUUUAAAUUGUUAGUAACUUAUAAAAAAAAUUAGUUUAAUUAACACAUAUUUUUGGAUAAGUGAUACAAAUAUUAAAAUUUUAAAUUAAAUUAUUAAUGGAGCUAUUCUAAAUAUUACAGUGAUUGAGUAUGUUGAUAGUUUAGUUGUAACUCCCUCAAAUCCCGGUCUACCUUCAAACCGGGGUUUGGUGUGUCACGGUGCUAUUCAUUCAAUGCAUACACCCAUAUAAUCCUAAGACAUAAAUGUAAUUUAAAUAUUAUUACAAUAUAUCAUUUCUAAUCCAAUGCUCUAAGACUUUUACAUUUUCAAAUCAUAAUACUAAUGAAUAUUACAUCAUUUAUCUAUUCCAACAGUACAUUUGUGAGUUUUCUCCGCCACAACAGAUACAUAUAAUUUAACAUGCAAUUCUUCUAAUCAAUACUUGAUCCUUGCACUAAUAUUCACCAUAUUCCUCUGUUCGUUUUAGCUUUGCUGAAUAUAUUUUUUUUAAGCAAAGGUGAACAUUUAAUUGCUCAGCAAGUAUAACCGUUGAAUAAACAAUCAACAACAUAAUGAAUAUCAAUAUAUUUUUUGAAAACUUCAACAACUGAACAAUAGUUGUGAAACAGUAGUUUCGAAAAAUUAGGAAUACCAAUUUCCUUUCAUAUAACGUUUUUGAAACAACAUAAUAUUGAUUAAUCCUCAAGACAUUAACCUUUCUUCUCCGUUCUUUGUUAGAUUUGACAUCUACCGUGUCUACUUCACUACUAUGACACAACAUUUACUCACACAACACAUUAUUACACGAGUUUCAAUACAUACGAAUGCUUGCCCAAAUUAUUUGAUUUGACACUAUUAACUUAACACAAUUCAAGAAUUAUUACAAUUCAUAUUUCACCAAUAAAUAAUCCAACUAGAAUAGUUCAACAAAUCGAGUUAAGCCAAAUCAAAUGACAGUAACUCUUUUUCAUAGCUUAUAUCACAUCAUACAAUGAAUCUUGUGUAUAACAAAUAAGAUUUCACAGUUUAAACUCAUGUUUGCACAUAAUAAUAAAUUAAUUUGUAUAAGGUCAUAGAAUACUUGCACAAAAUAUAAAUUUGUGCAAGUCAGAAAACUUGAAUUCACACAAUAUUAAAACAUUGCGUAAAUUAGAACAUGCAUUCAACAUAUAAAUUGAAUAGGAGUUCGGAAACUUACCUGAAGCAUUCUUUAAUUUAUACACUAAAUAUUCCUUCAAUUGUCCUACACAAUUUAAUUAAAGAUAAUAUACCAAUUAGCCACAUAACGAAUUCAUAUAUUGCUUUACGUUACAUUAUUACUCAUUUUAUGUUGUUCGCGUUUUAUAAAUAAUGUAGCGCGAUAACCUUUCAAAAAUGACACUUGGCGUCGUGGCAUUUAGGAACAACACAACCAUCAUAACGACCUCCUAUGAUGGUCUAUUUUCAUUAUUAUUCAUUUUAUAAUACUAAUCUUUAUAAGUUGGAACAUUUUAGAACAAUUUAAUUAACGAUAACGCCCGACAUGCAUGACGUCGCUCGACGUCACCCAACAUGCCCUGACGUGCACCACGUCACUCGGCGUCCCUUAACACGCUCCGACGUGCACCACGUCACUCGGCGUUGCACAACGUUGCACGACGUUGCAACACGUUCAAAAAUAAUUCGGUGACAGAUUCGUGCACAACCCUUGUUAGACUGCCCAACAGUCGUGGCCUGACGCCCCACAACAUGAGGCCCCAGCGCCCCACAUCUGCUACUCGCCAGCACGACCCACUCGUGCGCCCCCAGCAGCGCCUACGCGUGCCUAGCAGCCCACUACUUUGACAACCCUAACCCCUCUCCUUCCGAACCUUAUAACUUGUUCGUUUUAAGUCGUAAUAAAGCCGUUCUUGCGUCAUUUUUUUCCUUGUAACAUCCUCUACAAAUCCCCCCGGGUGAAAAAAUAUUUCAGACCCAAUAAAAGGCCAAAAAAAAAGGCCCCAAAAACCUUCGACGCUUAGUUUUUUGGCUUUGGUAGAUUCGACAUGCCUUUUUUCGAAGGGAAUAACUCCCUCCUCCGAAGUCAGAAUGAGGUCGCAAUUGAGCCUACUGAUUCCUUGUUCUACGUAAUACACAAUCCCUAGAAUUUUUUUCUGAAGAUUUAAACAACACAAAAUUUGAUACAAAAGUCAGCGCGCAAACUGUUUUUCAAUUUUUCGACUAGUUUUACAAAAAAAUAUGCCAUGACUUUGUUACAAAAUCUUUUAUCUUCGUUCUAAUUGGGUGAUGUUCGUAACUCAUAAGAGCAUAACAUAACCUCCUAGAACUUAAUUUUUAAAUUUGGGACAUCAUAGUUAAAUGGCCCCAAAACAUCCCACUAACAAUCCUCUAUUAAUUGUGCAUAGUUCAUCCUUGUGCAUAGGUCCAUUUUUUCCAUUUUCAUGUGUUCCUCUUUUCAUGUUAUUUACCAGUAGUUUACAUAUUUAAAUCAACUUAUACCUCCUAGAUCCCUUCAUGAUCCACCAUAGCCACAACCACCACCAAUCAAAGCUAACAAGAGCUUGAAAAUAAAAAGAGAUGAAUAAAUAGUUUUAAGUUUCAGGCUUAACCUCUUGAUGUUCUUUCUUGAUCUUGAUUAAGGCUUGCUAGAUGAUGAUCAAAGUUUGAUCCUUCUUCUCUUCCUUGUUCCUCUUUCACCCGUGUACUCUAUAUUCUCUCUCUUGCUUUCUUUUUCUCCUAAUGAUUUAUUGGCAAAAAUAAACAAAUAGGGGAGACAAACAUUAAAUGACUUGCUCCCUUUGGCACAAAACUUACUAUAA